Molecule: ribosomal RNA, 1984 nt
Filed under: Escherichia coli
Lineage: Bacteria; Pseudomonadati; Pseudomonadota; Gammaproteobacteria; Enterobacterales; Enterobacteriaceae
Description: partial 23S ribosomal RNA
Rfam family: Bacterial large subunit ribosomal RNA
Source: RNAcentral
UAUCAUUAACUGAAUCCAUAGGUUAAUGAGGCGAACCGGGGGAACUGAAACAUCUAAGUACCCCGAGGAAAAGAAAUCAACCGAGAUUCCCCCAGUAGCGGCGAGCGAACGGGGAGCAGCCCAGAGCCUGAAUCAGUAUGUGUGUUAGUGGAAGCGUCUGGAAAGGCGCGCGAUACAGGGUGACAGCCCCGUACACAAAAAUGCACAUGCUGUGAGCUCGAUGAGUAGGGCGGGACACGUGGUAUCCUGUCUGAAUAUGGGGGGACCAUCCUCCAAGGCUAAAUACUCCUGACUGACCGAUAGUGAACCAGUACCGUGAGGGAAAGGCGAAAAGAACCCCGGCGAGGGGAGUGAAAAAGAACCUGAAACCGUGUACGUACAAGCAGUGGGAGCACGCUUAGGCGUGUGACUGCGUACCUUUUGUAUAAUGGGUCAGCGACUUAUAUUCUGUAGCAAGGUUAACCGAAUAGGGGAGCCGAAGGGAAACCGAGUCUUAACUGGGCGUUAAGUUGCAGGGUAUAGACCCGAAACCCGGUGAUCUAGCCAUGGGCAGGUUGAAGGUUGGGUAACACUAACUGGAGGACCGAACCGACUAAUGUUGAAAAAUUAGCGGAUGACUUGUGGCUGGGGGUGAAAGGCCAAUCAAACCGGGAGAUAGCUGGUUCUCCCCGAAAGCUAUUUAGGUAGCGCCUCGUGAAUUCAUCUCCGGGGGUAGAGCACUGUUUCGGCAAGGGGGUCAUCCCGACUUACCAACCCGAUGCAAACUGCGAAUACCGGAGAAUGUUAUCACGGGAGACACACGGCGGGUGCUAACGUCCGUCGUGAAGAGGGAAACAACCCAGACCGCCAGCUAAGGUCCCAAAGUCAUGGUUAAGUGGGAAACGAUGUGGGAAGGCCCAGACAGCCAGGAUGUUGGCUUAGAAGCAGCCAUCAUUUAAAGAAAGCGUAAUAGCUCACUGGUCGAGUCGGCCUGCGCGGAAGAUGUAACGGGGCUAAACCAUGCACCGAAGCUGCGGCAGCGACGCUGAUGCGUUGUUGGGUAGGGGAGCGUUCUGUAAGCCUGCGAAGGUGUGCUGUGAGGCAUGCUGGAGGUAUCAGAAGUGCGAAUGCUGACAUAAGUAACGAUAAAGCGGGUGAAAAGCCCGCUCGCCGGAAGACCAAGGGUUCCUGUCCAACGUUAAUCGGGGCAGGGUGAGUCGACCCCUAAGGCGAGGCCGAAAGGCGUAGUCGAUGGGAAACAGGUUAAUAUUCCUGUACUUGGUGUUACUGCGAAGGGGGGACGGAGAAGGCUAUGUUGGCCGGGCGACGGUUGUCCCGGUUUAAGCGUGUAGGCUGGUUUUCCAGGCAAAUCCGGAAAAUCAAGGCUGAGGCGUGAUGACGAGGCACUGCGGUGCUGAAGCAACAAAUGCCCUGCUUCCAGGAAAAGCCUCUAAGCAUCAGGUAACAUCAAAUCGUACCCCAAACCGACACAGGUGGUCAGGUAGAGAAUACCAAGGCGCUUGAGAGAACUCGGGUGAAGGAACUAGGCAAAAUGGUGCCGUAACUUCGGGAGAAGGCACGCUGAUAUGUAGGUGAAGUCCCUCGCGGAUGGAGCUGAAAUCAGUCGAAGAUACCAGCUGGCUGCAACUGUUUAUUAAAAACACAGCACUGUGCAAACACGAAAGUGGACGUAUACGGUGUGACGCCUGCCCGGUGCCGGAAGGUUAAUUGAUGGGGUUAGCGCAAGCGAAGCUCUUGAUCGAAGCCCCGGUAAACGGCGGCCGUAACUAUAACGGUCCUAAGGUAGCGAAAUUCCUUGUCGGGUAAGUUCCGACCUGCACGAAUGGCGUAAUGAUGGCCAGGCUGUCUCCACCCGAGACUCAGUGAAAUUGAACUCGCUGUGAAGAUGCAGUGUACCCGCGGCAAGACGGAAAGACCCCGUGAACCUUUACUAUAGCUUGACACUGAACAUUGAGCCUUGAUGUGUAGGAUAGGUGGGAGGCUU